Molecule: unclassified non-coding RNA, 631 nt
Filed under: Centaurea argecillensis
Lineage: Eukaryota; Viridiplantae; Streptophyta; Magnoliopsida; Asterales; Asteraceae
Description: partial external transcribed spacer
Source: RNAcentral
UGCCCCUCACUUGCCAAUACGUCUAGAUCAGCCAGGGCGUCGGCAUGUGUAGCGUAUUAUGUUGGGCUCUCUCGAGAUAAGGAUACGAAGUCCCUUUAUCGGUUGGUUUCCUGUGUGCGCGGCCCGUUCGUUUUUUUGUUACUUUCGCAUCGUUCGGUGCAUUCUGGGGGCUGUGUUGGCUUUUGGUGGCUUGCUUGGCCUUUUGGCUUUGCUUGUUGCUACUUGUCGGGCUGCUUACGGGAAUGUCGACCGUGGAGGUGCAUGAGUGGUGUUUGGUUUGUUACGUGUGGAUGGCUGUUUGCUUGUGCAACAACGUUCACGCUGCAUACCUCUUCAGUUUUGCGGCAAGGCUUGGUUUGGCUUGUGCAUAUUGUGGGUUUCCUGUGUUGCAUACCUAGUUGAUGGAAAAGUGUGGGUUUUACGAUUUUCAUUUUCGUCUUGCGUCGUUCUUUCGGUGUGGGAUGAACAAUGAAGCGAUCUUUAUGAUCCAUCGUGCUGUUGCGUUUGCAACAAUGAUGUGGCCUAUGAAGCAUCGUUUGGUCUCUUGUAUACGGAAGCUCAUUUGGGCUUGGGUCUUUAUAAGAUCUUCGUUACGCCCUUGUUAAGCGUUCUCGCUUCUCCUAAACGAUUG